AUACAACGAAUUUUGGGAGCUUUGGAAUUUCAGGUAUUUUUAAUUGGGUCUUAUCUAUUCAUAUAUUUUCUGGGUUUCUGUUGAGAUUUGAAGAUAAGACCAAAUUCACUGAUAAAUUGAAACUUCUGCCUUGAAUGUUUAUGUGUGUUAUGUUCUUUCUUUUCAUGUUAUGUGAAAAAACUCCGUCACUAUAAAAUUACUUGGUUUUUCUUCAAAUUUGGAUAGAGAAAAGUCUUUUUGGGUCUUCCUCGUAUGACCCUUUGAAUACAACGUUAAAGGUUAAGAAUUUGGGCCUUUUGCCCGACCAUCGAAAAUAAAGGUGUAUUUGUGGGUUGAGAUUUGUAAGACUACUAGGCUAGAAAUGCUUUUGGGUGACUGAUACGAUAUAAAGAAUAAAAAGGAAUAUUCAAUCAUGUUGAGUUUGAGAUCGGACCAAUCAAGAAGAGCAGGCAGUUGAGUUGGGUAGGUUGGGAGGCGACAGGGAUGAUCGAGGUUGGACUCUACUCACAUUCGUGCUUGGAAAGGUGACCUCAAACGUGUAAUAUUUUUACUCUUAA
This 557-nucleotide long non-coding RNA is filed under the name Olea europaea subsp. europaea. The record is from RNAcentral. Lineage: Eukaryota; Viridiplantae; Streptophyta; Magnoliopsida; Lamiales; Oleaceae.